AUGAAAGAUAUAAGAAGAUGGAGGACCCAAUGUGCAAAAUCUCUAAAAAGUCACCAUUGUUAGUCCUCGUUGGAUCUCUGCUCCUUGAUCGGCGACGGCCCGGCUUGACGUGACGACGAUAAAUGGAUCCCAGGGACGCGACGGAGGAUCUGAGAACGACGGAGGAGGACGAGCUACGGUGGCUAGGAGAAACGAAGCUUGGCCGACGACGGUUGGAGCUCUGACGCGGAGGUGAGACUGCGAGCUCAGCCACGACGACGGCAAAGGCUGAGCUUAGCUGCGGCGGAGGAGCACAGCACGGGGACGAAGAUGAAGCAGAGAGCACGACAGAGGAGCCACGGUUGUCGACGGCCACGAAUAAGAAGAUGGAACCGGAGCUCAAAUCCGUGUUGGUUGGGAGCGGGCAACACACAGCGAGCUGGUGAUGUCGACGUGAGCUGGAGCGGCUUGAUGGCAGCGACACUGGACAUCGCACGGCAAAUCCAUGAGCGUGGCAAACAGGUAAGUGCUCUAACCCUAAUCCCGGUUCAACUCAAAUUGAACCGAUCCUAACCGACCUAAACCAGCCCACACGCCCCCUAGACCUACCCAACAACCCACGACAUCUUCUCCCUCAAUCUCAUCCCCACCACAACUCACAAACUCUCUCAAACUCUCACCACUCCAAACCCCAUAUCUCACUCAAUUCUUCACCAAUUCACCUCAUUCUUUCACUCAAAUCCAAACUUUCGCUCCGUCUACCUAUCCACACCUAUUCACCAUUACCAUCCAUCCAAAGCAAGGUACCAAUGGGUAAAGAAAACAAGGGCACAGUUGAUAGCUGAGAAGGAGGCAAGAGAUGCGGAAGAUUGGGCACAAAGAGGAAAGUCUUUAGAAGCUGAAACCGCUGAAACAGGGACUGAGAGGACUACUAGGCAACGAACUCAGGCUGCAAGGAAAUCCAUUGAGCAAGUGAAGAGAACAAAAAUGACUUCAGCUGCAAGGAAGUCCACUGAGCAAGUGAAGAGAACAGAAACGACUUCAGCUGCAAGGAAGUCGACUGAACAAGGAAAGAGAGCAGGAAAGAGUAUUGCAACUCCCACUGAUGAGGAGAGUGAGGAAGGUGAAGAGGAGUUAGAAGAAGAGCCUGCACCUGCGAAGAAGGCAAAGAUGACAAAAGGGAAAGGUGUUGCUGUUGAGAGGGACAGGGGGAAGACCCCAACUCCGGAAGAGCUGUAUGAUCACCUGAUGAAUGGGAUGGGCUGGCAGGCAACGAGGUUUGCCGACCUUGAGCUACUGAAGGCACUAGAGAUCGAUUCUGAUAUGGCGGAACUGUUGGGGCAUUUGAAAAUGCCAAAGCUUCUCACCAUGGCUUCUCCCACCUACAAGGAGCUCACUUCCCAGUUCUUGUCAACUUUGGAAGUCACCUACCACGACUCUAGACAUGUACGGCAAGGAUGGGGGAAAAUCAAGUUCAAGAUCGAUGGAAGGGUCUACUACAUGAACUUCAGAGACAUUGGGAUAGUCAUGGGUUUCCAAGAUGCAGAGGAGACUACUCUUCCAAGGUGCGACGGCCUCCCGAAGAAGCUUUGGGAAUUGAUUACUGGCAUCAACCACAGGACCGGCGCUGAUAAGAACUCUCGCAUCCGACACCCUACAGUGCGCUACCUCCACAGACUACUUGUUCACCUCUUCUACCCACGGAAACAGCACGGUAACGUCACAGAGGAAGAUCUCCGCCUUAUCUGCCCUGCUAUCAGUCCUUACACUACCCCGGGACAGCUACCACUUCCCAGCACAGACAUCUACGCAAAAUUUGGGAUGGUAGGUUUCUUUGUGAGUCGUCUUGAGCACUACAGAGACUGGGCUUGGACCACAGGGGAUAAAGAACCAAAGAUAGGGAUUGGAGGGAUGAUCACACCUCUCCUACAGGCUCAACACAUCAACUUAGGGAAGGGUGGAGUUGGUCUAAACUCAUUGAUGGAGCCUACUUGAAGAUAGCCACCUACUUCAGUGGGAUGUACCAGGGCAGCUACGUCUACCACUAUCGCUUGGAAGGAAGGAAAGCUGAGGUACUCCUCCCGAACAUGGACCUGACGAGCUUGAUCAUCCCUGGGGUCAUCAGCUUUGACCUUUCCCCGACAGACUUCCUUGGGGAACACGGGACUCUCGAUCCCGUUGUUGAACUAGGUCGACCUUGGGAACCUAGGGAGUCGAGAGAGACUGAGCCAGAGAGACCUGCUGAGGCGGCUUCUCCACCCGUCUAUGGUCAACCGCGCUACUCCUUCCCACCCUACAACGGGGUUCUUCCACAUGGUGCUCUUCCCGAUGCUCAUGACCACAUAGGUCGGCUGCAGCGAUGGAACAAGGCUCAGGACAGGACGAUUGAGAAGUUAAAAACCAAGUGCAAGGCGCUUAGCAAGACGGUGAAGCAGCAGGCCAAGUUCACAUCCAAGAUCUUGAGGAAGAUGGCUGAUGUGCUGACGAGGGGAGGCAUAGCGGGAUGCAGUAGAGCAGACUUUGAAUUCCCGGACGCUCCACCACCCCGGCAUCCACCUCAGCCUGGUACCCUUACCUUCCCCCUCACAGAGAGACAGCAGCGGCGCCUGGACAGGAACCCUCCCAUCAAUCCGUCAUCCUCAGGAAACAAAUCUCCAUCCUUGGCAUCUUCAGAUGACGACAUCGAGGUUGAGGAGGUUCAGAGUCAGCGCUGGUACGGAGACUACAGUUCAGCUGGAGGCUACUACACCUACUUCCCACCAGAUGAUGGCGCUGGCCCAUCUGACUCCACUCACCACCCAUAGAAGCUUCAGACGACAAAACUACGCAAGACUCCAUCAACAGGAAAUCCACAUCCGACAAAGAUGAGACCCACAACAAGACUUACUUGCAAAAGCAAUCUACAAAAGGCAUAAAAGAAAAUAUCUCCAUCAAUCGCCUGUUCAAGACUCGGCACCACAAAAAUGAGACAUGUUUCAAGUAUUAUCAUCUCAGUGUUGGCACCACAGAAAUGCAACACGUUUCAAGCACUAUGCAAAGCACUAUGCAAGCAGACUUCCGCUAUAAAUACGAGGCCAUAUGCAAUGUCGAGGGACACGAGCGAUUUCCUUAUUUCUCUAAAAGCUCUCCCCUCUCUCUAAAAUCUUUAAAAAUUUCUCUAUAGUUUUAAUUUUUCGAUUUUCCGCAAUCUUGUAAACAAAACCUUGUAUCUCAAUUCAAGAUCAAUAAAAAGUAAGUUUAAGCA
Molecule: RNA transcript, 3223 nt
Organism: Raphanus sativus (radish)
Lineage: Eukaryota; Viridiplantae; Streptophyta; Magnoliopsida; Brassicales; Brassicaceae
Exons: 3
Source: RefSeq, a predicted model, not a curated record